AGUGAACGCUGGCGGUAGGCCUAACACAUGCAAGUCGAACGGCAGCACAGUAAGAGCUUGCUCUUACGGGUGGCGAGUGGCGGACGGGUGAGGAAUACAUCGGAAUCUACUUUUUCGUGGGGGAUAACGUAGGGAAACUUACGCUAAUACCGCAUACGACCUACGGGUGAAAGCAGGGGAUCUUCGGACCUUGCGCGAUUGAAUGAGCCGAUGUCGGAUUAGCUAGUUGGCGGGGCAAAGGCCCACCAAGGCGACGAUCCGUAGCUGGUCUGAGAGGAUGAUCAGCCACACUGGAACUGAGACACGGUCCAGACUCCUACGGGAGGCAGCAGUGGGGAAUAUUGGACAGUGGGCGCAAGCCUGAUCCAGCCAUACCGCGUGGGUGAAGAAGGCCUUCGGGUUGUAAAGCCCUUUUGUUGGGAAAGAAAAGCAGCAGGUUAAUACCCCGCUGUUCUGACGGUACCCAAAGAAUAAGCACCGGCUAACUUCGUG
Molecule: ribosomal RNA, 492 nt
Filed under: uncultured bacterium
Lineage: Bacteria
Description: partial 16S ribosomal RNA
Rfam family: Bacterial small subunit ribosomal RNA
Source: RNAcentral